AAAAUUUUUUUUUGAAAAAAAAAAAUGAGAAAGUAAUGCUAAGAUAUUUAUUAUCCCACAUUUUAAUCCUCUUCUCUAUAAUCGCUGUCUGUUACCCUUUCUAUCCUAACUACCGCUUCAAUUACAAAAAGUGCCUUAACAAACAGUGUAAUCUAAGAUGUGCUUAUGGAUUGAUUUAUGACAGCCAGGGAUGUCAGCAAUGUCAAUGUAUUCCGAAAGCCGAAAAAUGCCCAUCCAAAAGGCUUUGCAAUAUUAGGUGCCUUGGAGAUCCUAUCUUCAAUGAUCAAGGUUGUCAAAUGUGCCAAUGCUAUACUCCUUUAAAAA
This is a long non-coding RNA of Gordionus sp. m RMFG-2023, 324 nucleotides long. RefSeq lists it as uncharacterized. Lineage: Eukaryota; Metazoa; Nematomorpha; Gordioida; Chordodea; Parachordodidae. The transcript is spliced from 3 exons. The record is from RefSeq and is a predicted model, not a curated record.